GACGAACGCUGGCGGCGUGCUUAACACAUGCAAGUCGAACGGAAAGGCCUCUUUCGGGGGGUACUCGAGUGGCGAACGGGUGAGUAACACGUGAGUAACCUGCCCUUGACUUUGGGGUAACUUCAGGAAACUGGGGCUAAUACCGGAUAGGAGCUCCUGCUGCAUGGUGGGGGUUGGAAAGUUUCGGCGGUUGGGGAUGGACUCGCGGCUUAUCAGCUUGUUGGUGGGGUAGUGGCUUACCAAGGCUUUGACGGGUAGCCGGCCUGAGAGGGUGACCGGCCACAUUGGGACUGAGAUACGGCCCAGACUCCUACGGGAGGCAGCAGUGGGGAAUAUUGCACAAUGGGUGGAAGCCUGAUGCAGCAACGCCGUGGGCGGGAUGACGGCCUUCGGGUUGUAAACCGCUUUCGCUCAUGACGAAGCUUUGUGUGACGGUAGUGGGUAAAGAAGCACCGGCUAACUACGUG
This 467-nucleotide ribosomal RNA is filed under the name uncultured bacterium. RNAcentral's name for it is "partial 16S ribosomal RNA". It matches the Rfam family "Bacterial small subunit ribosomal RNA", at positions 28 to 507 of the family's 1533-position model. The record is from RNAcentral.